UCACGCUAUUCGAAAAGAUCCUUCUAAGUUCGAUGUCAGGCUCCUGAGUCCUUUUGACAUGAUCCCAGUAGUCUUUGAUAGCUUGUGUGUCUGUAUUUUAUUACUUAAAAAUGCCAAGGGAAAAAGUACCUGUCAUCAGAAAAUCUAAUACAAAAAAAUAAAAUUAUAAAAGAAUUAAGAGAAAUAUAGGGAAACAUUUUUAUAUCACCCGGUAGGAAAAGCUCUUCCGAGUAAGACACACAAAUUAGGAGCCAUAAAGAAAAGAUUGAAAAAAUUGACUACCUGGAAGCUUUAAUCUUCUCUAUGGCAAAAUUAAGACAAGUGAUGGCCUAGAAGAAAAUACUUAAAAUAUAAAUGAAAGAAAGGAUUCUUUUUAUAUACAUAAACCAAUGGCAAAUGAUAAGAAGAAGAUAAACAAGCAAAUAAUAUGAAUAGAUAAUUCCCAGAAGAAGAAAUGCAGAUGGCCAUUAAAAAGUGUUAGGGCCAAGGGAUGGCUUAGGUGGCAGAGAGAUUAGACACCUCAAAAAUGCCAUCCAUCCCCUCCCACUCUUUGAUCUGGACACUUAACAUUUUCUCAGUCUUACGUAAGCUCAGCUUUAAGACAAGGCCUCUCCUCUCUUUCCAAUCAGGUAAUCAUCCCUAAAUUUCCUUUCGAUGGGAAUGCUGGAGCUUUCAUGGCCAAUAAACAUGAAAAACAUGCUCAACCUCACAAGUAAUGAGGCAAUUGCAAAUUAAAACAACACAGGUAUUAUUUUUUACUCAUCAGAUUGGCACAAAUUUAAAAACUGAUGGUAUCCACUGUUGGAGAGGAGGUGGGAAUCUCACACUCACCCAUGUGAGUGGUCACUUUGGGUGACCAUGUCCAGGUUCAGCGUUCUAGGAGGGCAACUUAGCAGUAUCUGUAACAAUUCAAAUGUACACGCCCUUUGAUUCAGCAGUUUCACUUCUAGGACUUUAUCCUACAGAGAUGUGCUCACGUUCUCAUGUGUCCACAAAGGAUGUUUUGUACAAGGCUGUUUAUUGCAGAAUUGUUUGUAUUACAAAACAAAAUGGCACAAUCAAUGGGGAGAUGGUUAUAUGAAUUACGGCUGAGCCAUAUUAUGAAAUGCCAUACAGCUGUUGAAAAAAGGAGCUAAAUUUACAUUCACUCCUUAGAUCGAUGGCUGUGAUAUAUUGUUAAUUAAAAAGAAGACAAGUCACAGAAGAGUGUGUUGACUAGGAUAUUAAAGAGAAAAUGACUGUUAACAGUGAUUGCUUCUAGAAGUAGAGAGGGGAGAGGGAUUGGAGCAGGCGUAACAGAACUUUCACACUUUAUAUAGUGGCAACAACAACCUGGGCUAGCAUCUACUGACGGCUCCCCAUACACCAGGCACUCUGCGGAGGGACGUGUCAUGUCUCAGUCCUCACGACAACCCUCCCAGUGCGGCUGUUUGAGCUGAAAGGGAGAAAAGGAGCAUGAGAAAACUCUUCUUCCACAUUACGUUCUGAUUUGGAGAUUCAAGCCUCAAAACAAUGGAAAAGCCGCUCAGGAAGAGACCUCAGUCUCCAGCCGGUAGAGGGAGCUCUGGGACACCGACCACGAUGCUUAGCCACCCCUGGCUACGGCAGAUUGUCCUCAGAACAGAAGACAAACCACCUCUGCCUCCUCCCCUACCCGUGAUCACUGAGGGCCUACCCACAACGGAAAAUUUUCUUUAGCACAUGUUAAAACCUUUAUUUCUUGGAAGAAUUUGAAGUGGCUUCUACCACACCAGCCAACAUCAGAAUUCCUGUAUUUGCAUCCAGAGCUGAGCUGUGUAGACCUAGAAUCUUCCCUCUAGAUCAACAGGUGUGCAAAGACAGGCGUAGGGCAUCCAUGCAGUUUUGCUUGUAGUCAUGAAAAACUGCAGACGCCUAAGUGCCCAUUGAUUAGGAGCGAGUUAUUUAAAUUACAGGAGUUCCUUACAAUGGGAUAUUUUUUGACAUCAUAUUUUUUUGUUAAACAGCUUUAUUGAGAUAUAAUUCACAGACCAUAAAAUUUAACGUACACAUUUCAGUAUUUCUUAGUAUAGUCACAAAGCUGUACACCAUCACCACAAUCUAAUUUCAGAUAAUUUUUAUUACCCUGGAAAGAAAUCCCAUACAUGAUGAGCUAUUUUGGAGCCAUUUUUUAAAAAUGAAAUAGUUCUCUAUGUAUUUAAAUAAAAAUACAUUCAUGACUGGCAAAAGGUGCAAAAAAGCACAUUGCAGAAAAUAUAUAAGAUAUCCCAUUUAUUUAUAAUAGUAUAUAUAUACACACACACAACAACACAUAUACACACAUGCACAUAUCAACACAUGUUAGUGUUUUUGUAUUUGUUCAUUCAUUCAUUUAUUUGUAUAUGCAUGGAGUGCUAUGUCUGGAGAAAAGGAUGGGGAAGUUUUAUUUUAAAUACUUUUUUAUAUACUCUU
This is a long non-coding RNA of Equus caballus (horse), 2430 nucleotides long. RefSeq lists it as uncharacterized. NCBI's taxonomy places the organism in Eukaryota, Metazoa, Chordata, Mammalia, Perissodactyla, Equidae. The record is from RefSeq and is a predicted model, not a curated record.